CCAUUGUGGUGAAGUGGAUGAUCCUAUGCUGUCGAGAAAAGCCUCUAGCGAGUUUCAUGGCGGCCCGUACCCUAAACCGACUCAGGUGGUCAGGUAGAGAAUACCGAGGCGUUCGGGUGAACUAUGGUUAAGGAACUCGGCAAAAUGCCCCCGUAACUUCGGGAGAAGGGGGGCCAUCACCGGUGAUCCGUUUUACACGGUGAGCUGGGGGUGGCCGCAGAGACCAGCGAGAAGCGACUGUUUACUAAAAACACAGGUCCGUGCGAAGCCGUAAGGCGAUGUAUACGGACUGACGCCUCCCCGGUGCUGGAACGUUAAGGGGACCGGUUAGUCACAAUUCGUUGUGGCGAAGCUGAGAACUUAAGCGCCAGUAAACGGCGGUGGUAACUAUAACCAUCCUAAGGUAGCGAAAUUCCUUGUCGGGUAAGUUCCGACCUGCACGAAUGGCGUAACGACUUCUCGACUGUCUCAACCAUAGGCCCGGUGAAAUUGCACUACGAGUAAAGAUGCUCGUUUCGCGCAGCAGGACGGAAAGACCCCGGGACCUUUACUACAGUUUGAUAUUGGUGUUCGGUUCGGCUUGUGUAGGAUAGCUGGGAGACUGUGAACUCUGGACGCCAGUUCAGGGGGAGUCGUCGUUGAAAUACCAGUCUGGUCGUGCUGGAUGUCUAACCUGGGUCCGUGAUCCGGAUCAGGGACAGUGUCUGAUGGGUAGUUUAACUGGGGCGGUUGCCUCCUAAAGAGUAACGGAGGCGCCCAAAGGUUCCCUCAGCCUGGUUGGCAAUCAGGUGUUGAGUGUAAGUGCACAAGGGAGCUUGACUGUGAGACCGACGGGUCGAGCAGGGACGAAAGUCGGGACUAGUGAUCCGGCGGUGGCUUGUGGAAGCGCCGUCGCUCAACGGAUAAAAGGUACCCCGGGGAUAACAGGCUGAUCUUCCCCAAGAGUCCAUAUCGACGGGAUGGUUUGGCACCUCGAUGUCGGCUCAUCGCAUCCUGGGGCUGGAGUCGGUCCCAAGGGUUGGGCUGUUCGCCCAUUAAAGCGGUACGCGAGCUGGGUUUAGAACGUCGUGAGACAGUUCGGUCCCUAUCCGCUGCGCGCGCAGGAACAUUGAGAAGGGCUGUCCCUAUUACGAGAGGACCGGGACGGACGAACCUCUGGUGUGCCAGUUGUUCUGCCAAGGGCAUGGCUGGUUGGCUACGUUCGGGAGGGAUAACCGCUGAAAGCAUCUAAGCGGGAAGCCUGCUUCGAGAUGAGUGUUCCCACCCACUAGAUGGGUUAAGGCUCCCAGUAGACGACUGGGUUGAUAGGCCGGAUCUGGAAGGCGGGUAACCGCUGGAGGUGACCGGUACUAAUAGGCCGAGGGCUUGUCCUC
RNAcentral lists this ribosomal RNA (1373 nucleotides) under metagenome. RNAcentral describes it as "bacterial LSU rRNA". It matches the Rfam family "Bacterial large subunit ribosomal RNA", at positions 1577 to 2925 of the family's 2925-position model. The record is from RNAcentral.